AAAUUUUUUUUUUAAAAAAACAAGUAACUUGUUAUUUCUUCUAAAAUUGUACAAGGUCCCUAGUGACCUUGUCACUAAUCCCCGU
Long non-coding RNA from Rhagoletis zephyria (snowberry fruit fly), 85 nucleotides. RefSeq lists it as uncharacterized. Lineage: Eukaryota; Metazoa; Arthropoda; Insecta; Diptera; Tephritidae. The record is from RefSeq and is a predicted model, not a curated record.